GGUCGCCUUGGGGUGCAGGGGGUGGGGCUCAGACUAACGGAGGAGCCUACCUCCUAGGUACUGGCACGGAAGAUGGCUGGGACUGGCCCUGGGCCUGAGGCAGGAGGGGUGUGGACCCCCGGAUCCCCGGCUCUUACCCUGCUUCAACUACCAACAGCACCCGGGGGCCCUGACUCCGUUGGCCCUGGUGGUCCUGUCCCCGCUGUUCUGUUCAGCCUUUCCCUCUGCCCCGGCUCCCAGCACUGGCCAGGUGGCAGUACCACGACGAAGGGACCCGGGUUCCCAGUCUCUCCUUCUAGGACAGGAGUUCGGCCCCGGACCUCUCCUUUCGGGAAACGAAGAGUGAGGAUCAGACCUUAGGAAGUGAGGAGUACAAUAGGCAACCAGAUAAAUCUUUAUUUGCGCCUUGGUACUGCGGCCUUUUCCUUCGGUACCGUCGGCUCCUGGCUCUGGGACAGCCGACUCUCCGGAACCCCGUCCUGCGGCGCAGCUCCCUUGUCGGUGCGGAACCGGGACUUCACUGAAUGGAUCACCGUCCCGUACCGAAAGCAAAGCAACACUGAUAGAAGGCGAAAGAAAGAGCAGUCCUGGG
Molecule: long non-coding RNA, 592 nt
Organism: Suricata suricatta (meerkat)
Lineage: Eukaryota; Metazoa; Chordata; Mammalia; Carnivora; Herpestidae
Exons: 3
Source: RefSeq, a predicted model, not a curated record